CCCUUCACAGGAUCGCACCUGGAGGGUUUCCAGUACCCUACUAGUCUUGGAUACGGGAGGGAGAGUCAAGCAGAGGCAUACUCAUUCCAUUCCUAGCUGGAGCAGUGGCUAGGGAGUAGAAGGCAAUCCGCUACAAGU
Molecule: small nucleolar RNA, 138 nt
Organism: Ornithorhynchus anatinus (platypus)
Lineage: Eukaryota; Metazoa; Chordata; Mammalia; Monotremata; Ornithorhynchidae
Source: RefSeq, a predicted model, not a curated record